AGCGAACGUUUGCGGCGGGCUUAACACAUGCAAGUCGAACGAGAAUCCCUUCGGGGAGGAAAGUGGUGCACGGGUGCGUAACACGUGGAUAACCAACCCAUUGGUUUGGGACAACACCGGGAAACUGGUGCUAAUACCAGAUGUGUCGCAGCUGUCUUCAGGCGGUUGCGAGAAAGGCCCGCAAGGGUCGCCAACGGACGGGUCCGCGUCCCAUCAGCUAGUUGGUGAGGUAAUGGCUCACCAAGGCAAAGACGGGUAGCUGGUCUGAGAGGAUGAUCAGCCACACUGGAACUGAGACACUGGCCAGACACCUACGGGUGGCUGCAGUCGAGAAUCUUCGGCAAUGGGCGCAAGCCUGACCGAGCGACGCCGCGUGCGGGAUGAAGGUCUUCGGAUUGUAAAGCUCUUUCGGCCGGGAAGAAAUCGCACAGGUUAAUACCCUGUGUGGAUGACGGUACCGGAAUAAGAAGCACCGGCUAACUACGUGCCAGCAGCCGCGGUAAAG
This 505-nucleotide ribosomal RNA is filed under the name uncultured bacterium. Its description in RNAcentral is "bacterial SSU rRNA". It matches the Rfam family "Bacterial small subunit ribosomal RNA", at positions 29 to 525 of the family's 1533-position model. The record is from RNAcentral.